RNAcentral lists this non-coding RNA (94 nucleotides) under uncultured Kiloniella sp. Its description in RNAcentral is "Glycine riboswitch". It matches the Rfam family "Glycine riboswitch aptamer". Rfam says of the family: This family represents the bacterial glycine riboswitch. Lineage: Bacteria; Pseudomonadati; Pseudomonadota; Alphaproteobacteria; Rhodospirillales; Kiloniellaceae. The record is from RNAcentral.
CAACUCUGGAAAGCUUUGCGUAAAGUAAAGCACCGACGGAGUAAGCAGAGAAUUAUUUUCUUUGUGAAUCUCUCAGGUUCGAAGACAGAGGGGG